CAUUGGCCACAAGCUCUCGUUAAUGGCUUACAUUCUUUGUGAUUCUUUUCCACCCUUCUAUCCAAAUCAUUUUUCUUUAUAAAUAUGAUUAUAUAUCCUUUGCAAAUUCAUCUUCACAAUAGCAGUUUCUUGUUUCUCUGAAAAAAAGGGGUCUUGAAAAGUUUAAAAAGGGAAGCAAAACGAAUCUCAUUUCUCCUCCUUGGUGAAUUGACUAGAGAUGUUACAUAGGCUGGAGUCCUUAGAAAGCUGUAACUAUAACGGGAUGGAAGCAAGGUUGAAAUGGCAGCAGCAAAACUAUGUGGUCCAAAACAACAAUCUUGUUGAACUAUGUGCAGGCUCAUUGCCUCAGUUUCAGGGUCUGAUUGGGAGCAAUUUAGGUGGUGCACAAAUGAUUGAGCUGAAAAGGCCAGAAGUUUUUCUGGGUAGUGUUGAUUUUCAGGAAUUUGUGAACUUUCCGGUAGUUGGACCAGAGUUUGGUGACAGUGAAAAGUUGGAUUUGGUGCCGCCAGAGGCUGCUACAAAUUACUGUAUUUUUCGGACUUCUAGCUGUCAGAUGUCAGCUCUCAAUACUUCUGUCAUGAAAGAGGAAAGAGAGGAUUUGAUUCUGGAGAAAAUGGAAUCCGCCACUGGCAUUGGCAGAGAGAGCUUUAACAAGAGAAAAGCUGAGGCUGUUGCAGACCAUAAAAGCAAAGAUAAGAGGAUUAAAGGGGAAGGGGAAUCUGAGGUGAAAGCAAACUGCAGUACUGAAAUUUCCAGGAAUUCUUCAAAGAAGAGCUCCAAGGCUUCUGAGGUUCUGAAACCGGAUUACAUUCAUGUAAGAGCACGUCGUGGUCAGGCUACAGACAGUCACAGCUUGGCUGAAAGAGCCAGAAGGGAAAAGCUCAGUAAGAAGAUGAAAUGCUUGCAAGAUCUAGUCCCUGGUUGCAAUAAAAUCACAAGUAAAGCUGGAAUGCUUGAUGAAAUAAUCAACUAUGUUCAAUCUCUCCAAAGACAAGUUGAGUUCUUGUCUAUGAAAAUUGCUGCUCUAAAUUCAAGUGUUGAAACCCUACCUAUGAAAGAGUUUCCUGCUUAUGUCGCCAAUUUUCCAGCAGCCGCUAAGUUACCUGAAACGGCCGAUUUGCCCUACUUUCAGUUGAAUCCAUUGCAAAAUCAAUCUGUAAAUUGCAUGUUAAAUGAGUCAAUGCUUCCUCCCCAAACAGGAGCUGAAGGAAUUGCAAGUCCUUCUGUUUCUAGCUCAUCCAGCAUGACUCAACUCCAACCAUUCUCAACUUGGAACACGGAUCCUCAAGGUCUUUCCAACAUGUACAAUAUGGGGUUUCAUUAAGGAUGAUCAACUAAUUUUUGCCUCCAACAUCAACAGAUACUAUUCCUGGAAUCAUAUAAAACUUCAAGAGGGAAUACAAUUACAAAUGCCACUAUUCCAAAGUAUGUUUGCCCAACGCAAUGAAUAUGGAUGUCUUUAUUGGCUGUGAAAGGAGAGAAAGCAUAAAGGACCACACUAAGACUACCCUAAAAAAAGGCUGAUGGGGAUAGAAAAUGACAGAGGCAUAGUGUUGGAAACUUUAAGUUAUUGUUGAGGGGGCGACAAAGGUGAUAGAGAUGAGUGAAAAGAGUGGGAGCUAAUGACAGAAAUGGCCCAGCCAACUGCCCAACUUGCCUGCAAAUCUCCAAACUCUCUUUGGUAAUAUUAAAAGCAAAAGGCGGUUGAAUCAGAUACAACCUAACAUUCUUGAUAUCAUUGAGGAGGCCGUUAACAGUUUUCUUAUCGUUUCUCCGACUCCCUCGGUGAACGUGGUGGAUCUGUGUCCCUUUUUGAUAUCAGUUUUCUUAUCUGUUUACCGCGAAGCUAAAUUUUUUACUUUGCCACUUCCAUUCAGUUUUACAUAUGAUAUGCUUAAAUUCUAUA
RNA transcript from Hibiscus syriacus, 1906 nucleotides. It is a transcript of the gene named transcription factor HBI1-like, with no coding region annotated. The record is from RefSeq and is a predicted model, not a curated record. The transcript has 8 exons. NCBI's taxonomy places the organism in Eukaryota, Viridiplantae, Streptophyta, Magnoliopsida, Malvales, Malvaceae.